Molecule: non-coding RNA, 126 nt
Organism: Brassica napus (rape)
Lineage: Eukaryota; Viridiplantae; Streptophyta; Magnoliopsida; Brassicales; Brassicaceae
Source: Rfam
GUAAUAUAAGAUACGGUCUCUUAGCUUUUAACUAAAAAAACUAAAAGACGUACUUUUAACUAAAAAAAUUAAGAGACGUCUCUUAGUUUUUUUAGUUAAAAGCUAAGAAAUUGUAUCUUAUAUUAC